Cricetulus griseus (Chinese hamster) is the source of this 102-nucleotide small nuclear RNA. The record is from Ensembl. NCBI's taxonomy places the organism in Eukaryota, Metazoa, Chordata, Mammalia, Rodentia, Cricetidae.
AUGCUCACUUUGGCAGCACAUAUACUAAAAUUAGAAUGAUAGAGAUUAGCAUGGCCCCUGUUCAAGGAUGACACAAAAAUUUGUGAAGCAUUCCAUAUUUUU